CGUUAUGGCAGCUGUGCGCGGGAGGCCUUUGGCCUACCGGGUUUCUCGAUGUCCGGUUUUCCACCCCGCGUACAGCUGCCACCCUU
Molecule: non-coding RNA, 86 nt
Filed under: Pseudomonas cremoricolorata
Lineage: Bacteria; Pseudomonadati; Pseudomonadota; Gammaproteobacteria; Pseudomonadales; Pseudomonadaceae
Source: RNAcentral